GGUCAGGACGAACGCUGGCGGCGUGCCUAAUACAUGCAAGUCGAACGGUCUUUCUAUGGAAGCUUGCUUCCACUGAGAAGAUAGUGGCGAAACGGGUGAGUAACACGUGGGUAACCUGCCCAUAAGAGGGGGGAUGACAUCCGGAAACGGGUGCUAAUACCGCAUAGUUUUCUUGAUCGCAUGAUCGGGAGAGGAAAGACGGCCUUUGUGCUGUCGCUUAUGGAUGGACCCGCGGCGUAUUAGUUAGUUGGUGAGGUAACGGCUCACCAAGACGAUGAUACGUAGCCGACCUGAGAGGGUGAUCGGCCACAUUGGGACUGAGACACGGCCCAAACUCCUACGGGAGGCAGCAGUAGGGAAUCUUCCGCAAUGGACGAAAGUCUGACGGAGCAACGCCGCGUGAGUGAAAGAAGGUUUUCGGAUCGUAAAACUCUGUUGUCAGAGAAGAACAAGUUGGAGAGUAACUGCUCCAGCCUUGACGGUAUCUGACCAGAAAGCCACGGCUAACUACGUGCCAGCCGCCGC
This 525-nucleotide ribosomal RNA is filed under the name uncultured bacterium. Its description in RNAcentral is "bacterial SSU rRNA". It matches the Rfam family "Bacterial small subunit ribosomal RNA", at positions 22 to 518 of the family's 1533-position model. The record is from RNAcentral.